AACGAACGCUGGCGGCGUGCCUAACACAUGCAAGUCGUGCGAGAAAGUUCCUUCGGGAGCGAGUAAAGCGGCGCACGGGUGAGUAACACGUAGGUAACCUGCCCCCCAGUCUGGAACAACUAGAGGAAACUCUAGCUAAUGCCGGAUGAGACCACGAUCCCUUCGGGGGUUGCGGCCAAAGAUGGCCUCUACUUGUAAGCUAUCGCUGAGGGAUAGGCCUGCGGGCCAUUAGCUUGUUGGUGAGGUAACGGCUCACCAAGGCUGUGAUGGCUAGCUGGUCUGAGAGGAUGACCAGCCACACUGGGACUGAGACACGGCCCAGACUCCUACGGGAGGCAGCAGUGGGGAAUAUUGCGCAAUGGGCGAAAGCCUGACGCAGCGACGCCGCGUGGGUGAUGAAGGCCUGGUC
RNAcentral lists this ribosomal RNA (409 nucleotides) under uncultured bacterium. RNAcentral describes it as "bacterial SSU rRNA". It matches the Rfam family "Bacterial small subunit ribosomal RNA", at positions 29 to 424 of the family's 1533-position model. The record is from RNAcentral.